UUGACCUCAAAUCAGGUAGGAUUACCCGCUGAACUUAAGCAUAU
Molecule: ribosomal RNA, 44 nt
Filed under: Amanita manginiana
Lineage: Eukaryota; Fungi; Basidiomycota; Agaricomycetes; Agaricales; Amanitaceae
Also listed under: 9 other names
Description: partial 28S ribosomal RNA
Source: RNAcentral